AUAGGUACCCGAACACUAGCAUUGACUUGUCUAUAUAAUGCAGUAAGUGCUAAUUGUUGGGAAGUUUGA
This 69-nucleotide microRNA precursor is filed under the name Salmo salar (Atlantic salmon). RNAcentral describes it as "miR-430 microRNA precursor family". It matches the Rfam family "miR-430 microRNA precursor family". Lineage: Eukaryota; Metazoa; Chordata; Actinopteri; Salmoniformes; Salmonidae. The record is from Rfam by way of RNAcentral.